Molecule: small RNA, 654 nt
Filed under: Pan troglodytes (chimpanzee)
Lineage: Eukaryota; Metazoa; Chordata; Mammalia; Primates; Hominidae
Description: processed transcript
Source: RNAcentral
AAGAGCAAGUUGAAAUUAAAAGGUUACGCACAGAAAAUAGACUUUUAAAACAGCGCAUCGAGACAUUAGAAAAAGAAAGUGCUUCCUUGGCAGAUAGAUUGAUACAGCAUAAAUGCAGUUCCAACUACAACGAAGAUUUUGUGCUACAGCUAGAGAAGGAAUUGGUCCAAGCCCGACUGAGUGAAGCUGAGUCUCAGUGUGCAUUAAAAGAGAUGCAGGAUAAAGUCUUGGAUAUAGAGAAGAGGAAUAACUCCCUUCCUGAUGAGAAUAAUAUUGCAAGGCUUCAGGAAGAACUCAUUGCUGUGAAACUUAGAGAAGCAGAAGCCAUUAUGGGUUUGAAAGAACUUAGACAGCAAGUCAAGGAUUUAGAGGAACACUGGCAGCGCCACUUAGCUCGUACUACUGGGAGAUGGAAAGACCCACCCAAGAAAAAUGCUAUGAAUGAGUUACAAGAUGAACUGAUGACCAUUCGACUUAGAGAAGCUGAAACACAAGCAGAAAUAAGAGAAAUAAAACAAAGGAUGAUGGAAAUGGAAACACAGAACCAGAUCAAUAGUAACCAUCUUCGAAGAGCAGAACAAGAGGUGAUUAGCCUACAGGAGAAAGUGCAGUAUCUUUCUGCACAGAACAAAGGACUCCUUACUCAAUUAAGUG